UACAGAGGUCUCAACCGUUGUUCUGAUUCAUUGGGCGUAAAGGGUGCGUAGGCGGUCGUGCAAGUCGGAUGUGAAAUCUCAGGGCUCAACCCUGAAACUGCAUUCGAUACUGCGCGGCUAGAGUGCUGGAGGGGAGACUGGAAUUUACGGUGUAGCAGUGAAAUGCGUAGAUAUCGUAAGGAGGACCAGUGGCUAAGGCGAGUCUCUGGACAGCAACUGACGCUGAGGCACGAAGGCCAGGGGAGCAAACGGG
RNAcentral lists this ribosomal RNA (253 nucleotides) under uncultured bacterium. RNAcentral's name for it is "partial 16S ribosomal RNA". It matches the Rfam family "Bacterial small subunit ribosomal RNA", at positions 524 to 776 of the family's 1533-position model. The record is from RNAcentral.